GACAGAGGGGGCAAGCGUUAUUCGGAUUCACUGGGCGUAAAGGGUGCGCAGGCGGCCGGGUGUGUCAGGUGUGAAAGCCCGAGGCUCAACCUCGGAAUUGCGCCUGAAACUGCUCGGCUAGAGCAUUGGAGAGGGUAGCGGAAUUCACGGUGUAGCAGUGAAAUGCGUAGAGAUGUGGAGGAACACCGAUGGCGAAGGCAGCCCCCUGGGCCAAUACUGACGCUCAUGCACGAAAGCGUGGGGAGCAAAC
This 250-nucleotide ribosomal RNA is filed under the name uncultured bacterium. RNAcentral's name for it is "partial 16S ribosomal RNA". It matches the Rfam family "Bacterial small subunit ribosomal RNA", at positions 524 to 773 of the family's 1533-position model. The record is from RNAcentral.